GGACUACUGGGGUAUCUAAUCCCGUUCGCUACCCUGGCUUUCGCGCCUCAGCGUCAGAAAGGACCCAGCGGACCGCUUUCGCCACCGGCGUUCCUUCCGAUAUCAACGCAUUUCACCGCUCCACCGGAAGUUCCGUCCGCCCCUUGCCCCCUCGAGCCGUGCGGUCCCCCGGGCCCUUUUCCGGUUAAGCCGAAAAAUUUCACCCGAGGCGGACACGGCCGCCUACGCGCCCUUUAAGCCCAGUGAUUCCGAACAACGUUCGCACGGUUCGUCUUACCGCGGCUGCUGGCAC
Molecule: ribosomal RNA, 292 nt
Filed under: uncultured Planctomycetota bacterium
Lineage: Bacteria; Pseudomonadati; Planctomycetota
Description: uncultured planctomycete partial 16S ribosomal RNA
Source: RNAcentral